RNAcentral lists this ribosomal RNA (433 nucleotides) under uncultured bacterium. Its description in RNAcentral is "partial 16S ribosomal RNA". It matches the Rfam family "Bacterial small subunit ribosomal RNA", at positions 29 to 507 of the family's 1533-position model. The record is from RNAcentral.
AGCGAACGCUGGCGGCAGGCCUAACACAUGCAAGUCGAACGGAUCCUUCGGGAUUAGUGGCGGACGGGUGAGUAACACGUGGGAACGUGCCCUUUGGUUCGGAACAACUCAGGGAAACUUGAGCUAAUACCGGAUGUGCCCUUCGGGGGAAAGAUUUAUCGCCAUUGGAGCGGCCCGCGUCUGAUUAGCUAGUUGGUGAGGUAACGGCCCACCAAGGCGACGAUCAGUAGCUGGUCUGAGAGGAUGAUCAGCCACACUGGGACUGAGACACGGCCCAGACUCCUACGGGAGGCAGCAGUGGGGAAUCUUGCGCAAUGGGCGAAAGCCUGACGCAGCCAUGCCGCGUGAAUGAUGAAGGUCUUAGGAUUGUAAAAUUUUUUCAGCGGGGACGAUAAUGACGGUACCCGCAGAAGAAGCUCCGGCUAACUUCGUG